GCCCAAGAUUGAAAGCUGGCGUCUUCGGCGUCCGCAUUGUAAUCUCAAGAAGUGUUUUCCGCUUCGGACCAAGCCUAAGUCCCCUGGAAAGGGGCAUCAUAGAGGGUGAUAAUCCCGUACAUGGCUUGGAGCGCCCGUAGCUUUGUGAUACACUUUCUAAGAGUCGAGUUGUUUGGGAAUGCAGCUCAAAAUGGGUGGUAAAUGCCAUCUAAGGCUAAAUAUUGGGGAGAGACCGAUAGCGAACAAGUACAGUGAUGGAAAGAUGAAAAGAACUUUGAAAAGAGAGUUAAACAGUACGUGAAAUUGCCAAAAGGGAAGGGUAGGAGGUCAGAGAUGCGGCCUAGGAUUCAGCCUUGCUUUUGCUUGGUGUUUUUCCUAGAUUGCAGGCCAACGUCGGUUUUGGGCACUGGAGAAGGGUGGAAGGAACGUGGCACCUCUCGGGGUGUGUUAUAGCCUUCCACUGGAUACAGCGACCGAGACCGAGGACAGCAGCGUACUCGCAAGAGCGGGCCUUCGGGCACCUUUACGCUUAGGGCGUUGGCAUAAUGGCCCUCUACCACC
RNAcentral lists this ribosomal RNA (561 nucleotides) under Ustilago sp. DMKU-SP394. RNAcentral describes it as "LSU rRNA". It matches the Rfam family "Eukaryotic large subunit ribosomal RNA", at positions 107 to 649 of the family's 3401-position model. Lineage: Eukaryota; Fungi; Basidiomycota; Ustilaginomycetes; Ustilaginales; Ustilaginaceae. The record is from RNAcentral.